Molecule: unclassified non-coding RNA, 1950 nt
Filed under: Drosophila virilis
Lineage: Eukaryota; Metazoa; Arthropoda; Insecta; Diptera; Drosophilidae
Description: GJ16132
Source: RNAcentral
GUGUAAACUAUAAAUUUGUGUUACUAUGAAACAAUGUCAUCGCAACAGCGCAAAUUCAUAGGGAAACAAAACGUUUCAAACAACACUGCAAGAACCGUAAAUACAAACACGCAUCUAUUUUUGUAAUGCCCACAACAGUCGUAACAAUUGCAUUAAGUGUUGGCUAAAACUACCGUAACAUCCAACAGACAACAGACAGGUGGAGGUGGAGAUGGCUGCAAUAAAGAACAUCGCGCUGGGCAUUUUGUAUGGACUAUGGGACAGCAUACGCGGCAUGACCCUGGUGCUUCACAUUGACAACGAGGUGGCCAGACAGAAUGCAGAAUUGGAGACAAUGCGCCAGCUGCGCAGAAUGGACAGGGAGCAAUAUAGGCAGGCGCAACGUUCGCCCUCGCCAGUGCCCAGCUCGGCGGCGGCAAUGAUACGCGAGGAGUAUGCCAAGCGUGCGGAGGCCAAUACCGAUGAGCGUACGCUGGAGAAGAUAUUCAAAAAGAAGCCCGUGGAGGAGCCACAGCCACAGGCCGAGAAGAAAAUCGCCAAGAAAUUAUUUAAAUGCUGUCUGCUAAAUGGCGGCUUCACCUGGCUCAGCAUCGUGCUGUUCGAGAACGUGCUGCUGCCCACACUGAAAUUCUGUUUGACCAUCUUCUAUGGCGCGCAGUCCGAUACGUUGCCCUUUGUCUGGAGCUGGCUGCAUCCCAUUUUGUCGCUGAUCUUUGGCAUGAUGUGGGUGCUGCCCAUAUUCAUGCUCUCCAAGAUUGUCAGCUCGCUGUGGUUCGCGGACAUCGCGAAUGCGGCGUAUCGUGUGCGCAAGGGUCGGCCCCAGUUGAUACCCGGUAUCAGUAAACUGGUUGCCGACUUCCUCUUCAGCAUGGUCGUGCAAAUACUGUUUCUGGUGCAGAGCAUGUUGGUCAAUCUGGUGCCAGUCAAAUAUGUUGGCUCCUCGCUGUGCUUUCUUCAUUUGUGCCUGCUCUAUUCGCUGUAUUCCUUCGAGUACAAAUGGUUCAACAUGGGCUGGGAGCUGCAUCGACGUCUGACCUACAUUGAAAAGAAUUGGCCAUAUUUCCUUGGCUUUGGCAUACCGCUGACGGUGCUCACGAAUAUGUCCAGCUCUGUGAUUGUCAGCAGCUGCAUCUUCUCCAUAUUCUUUCCGCUCUUCAUACUCAGCGGCAACGAGGCGAAGCCCAUUGUGGACACCACUAACUUUUCGCUGCGUCUUUUCUCGCCGGUGGUAUUCAUAUCUAAUUUAUGCUUUGGCGGCAAUCCGUGGAGCAAAACGAAUCGCCUUUUGGCCCAGCAGCGCAAGCUGGCCGAGAAACAGCGUCAGCUGCAGCGCGAGGAGCUGCUGCUCAAGCAGAAGAAACAGCAAUAUAUGCUGCAGCAGCAGCGACAGCACGAGGCGAUGCGCGAACACUCGCGUUCCCGGACACCGCAGUCGGGUCAGCCGCAUCAUCGCUACGCCCAGCCGCCGGCGUUUGAUGCGACGCGUGUGCGCGACUCCUCGGCCUCGUCCACGCACAGCUCCAAUGCGGCAACACCGAGCAGCUUUAGGCCGCCGCCGUUCUUUGGAGGCGGCGCUGGUGGCCUGCACAGCAAUGUGCCCCUGGUGCCCACACCUGUGCCUGGUGCGCCGCGCACGCCCGUCGUGGUGCACGAGGAGUCGGGCCCAGAUGACUGGAACUUGUGAGAUUUUUGUGCACACGCACACACACACAUAUACUUGACUACUAUCAUAAGGCAUAGGCAUUAGUAUGUCUACGCAUAAUGACAAUGCACGCUAGUCGGUAGUCGACAGCGCAGUGCACAACUGGUAGCUAACUUUAUCUAUUGUUUGUAUCUAAGAUAAACACACGCCCAAUCUGCUGCCCAAGAUUUUAUUUGGUUACCAUAUUCUCUCUCUGAUUGGGUAUUCAAAAGUUUCAUAAAUAUGUAAUAAAAAUUUUUUGUAAUUUC